AGAGCGAACGCUGGCGGCGUGCUUAACACAUGCAAGUCGAACGCGCAGCAUUCUGUAGCAAUACAGGGUGUGGGCGCGUGGCGAACGGGUGCGUAACACGUGGAUAACCUUCCUUGAGGUGGGGAAUAACCCAGUGAAAAUUGGGCUAAUACCGCAUAACAUCGCGAUGGCACAUGCUGAUGCGAUCAAAGGCGCAAGUCGCCACAAGAGGGAUCCGCGGCCGAUUAGCUUGUUGGCGAGGCAAUGGCUCACCAAGGCAAUGAUCGGUA
RNAcentral lists this ribosomal RNA (269 nucleotides) under uncultured bacterium. RNAcentral's name for it is "partial small subunit ribosomal RNA". It matches the Rfam family "Bacterial small subunit ribosomal RNA", at positions 26 to 285 of the family's 1533-position model. The record is from RNAcentral.